GCGCCUGUAGCUCAGUCAGGAUAGAGCAACGGAUUCCUAAUCCGUGGGUCAGGUGUUCGAAUCACCUCAGGCGCA
Molecule: transfer RNA, 75 nt
Filed under: Myxococcota bacterium
Lineage: Bacteria; Pseudomonadati; Myxococcota
Description: tRNA-Arg
Rfam family: tRNA
About the family: Transfer RNA (tRNA) molecules are approximately 80 nucleotides in length. Their secondary structure includes four short double-helical elements and three loops (D, anti-codon, and T loops).
Source: RNAcentral